This is a long non-coding RNA of Myxocyprinus asiaticus (Chinese sucker), 1469 nucleotides long. RefSeq lists it as uncharacterized. The transcript is spliced from 3 exons. The record is from RefSeq and is a predicted model, not a curated record. Lineage: Eukaryota; Metazoa; Chordata; Actinopteri; Cypriniformes; Catostomidae.
UCUUUGGUCUAUGUUUAAGUGGAGGGGAAAAAGCAACAAAUAAUUGAAAUGUCAACAGAACGCAAUAAGAAUUGUGUUGAAGGACAGUUUUGUCUUCAUACACCUAAAGCAUAUGCUUUCAUUCUGAAACCACUUUGAAGUCUGUUCAGCAGGAAACUAAUCAUAAUAUAUUUACAUUUAUAUUGACAAACAGUUUUUUUUAAAGUUGUGAAGUUUAAAAUAAGCUUAAAAUAUUGAUGUUGUAUUUACAUUUACAAUUUUAAUUCAGAUUCAUGAACAGAUUUACUCGGGCUCGGCCUGUUAUGGACUCGGCCGCUUUUGGACUCAGACUCAACUCGGACUCGAUUGUUUAAAGACUUGGACUUGUGACAGAACCAUAGACAAACAUACGUAGAUGCCUCAUUCGGGUGGUUCAGAAACGUCAACCACGGCACCAUCUUGGAACGGUUAACGAGGAGAGCUGUUGAAUACAGCUCUGACAUAUCCAAUAUGGCGGACGCACCGACAUAUCGUGGUCCUUAGAAACAGCUGCUAAUAAGGUAUCUAUGUAUUGAUAUCUAUGGAUAGAACAGCAGAAGUUGUUUUAACAUAAUCUCUGCAAGAACCCAUUUGAAGUCCCAGAAGUCAUAGCAGCACUACGGUGGCUGACGAAGGACAUUUAUCGUUGUGUUUUCCCUCAAGAGUAUCCCGCUGUAAGCUCACAAAAUUCUGACAGCUCAUGAAAGUCAUCGCACUCCGUCAACAUUUGUUUUGCUGUAAUAAAGACCAGGAGGAAACGAGUGUUAAAAGACUUUAUUCUUUUAACGUGUCACUAGUCCACCACUAGACACCAGUAGCUCUCUCACUGACUUCAAAUGUGCUGUGACGGAUAAUUGCACAUCAGGAAGUUCACAGCACAUCUAAAAGUUCGUGAUAGAAGCGUUCUUUGUUCUUCUGUUUGUUCUUCCAAGUUAGCUUGGCAAGACUGGUCUUCAAAAGAACGCAAGUUCGUUCCCUGCAUUCUUAGCAUUGAGAAACACCCUUAGAAUGUUCACUUGGAUGCUUCCAGUCCAGACAGCCUCAAGCCGUCACGUCAGCAGGUACGUGCAGUGCAGACAGGUGUCAACAUUGUCUGUCCUAGGACUUUUUGUUGAAAACACAUUGGUCUCCAGGGUUUUUUCUACCUGACCCUCACUACUUUUUCUAAAAUUAAAACACAUAGAAGACAACAGCAUCUUAAUCCGUGGAAAUGUUCAACCUUAUCUUUGGAAAUCAAUAGACAUGAGUUGUAUUUACUGACAUGCUGGAACACUGCCCCAAGCUUUCCAGAAUUCUUGAGAUCUCUGUUUCACUGCUGCAGAACCCUUAUUGGCCCUGCAUCCUGUCAGGGUCAUUUGACCACAUCAAACACAGAUAUGAUGAUGGACAUUCAAAAUAAAUCUGAGUGGACAUUAGACACAAAGACAUCAACCAGGCAAUAACAUGGCUAU